UCAACCACACACAUCUCUUCGUGCACCCAGCCCCUCCCCUUCGUGCAGAAAACAGACUAGAUAGUUGAUGUUCAUAUUUCAGAUUUCACUUUCUGGUAAGAGUCUUAGAAAAUUCAUCAAGCACGUGGAAGCACAUCACUGGUGCAGGCAGAGAAAAUUCAUCAAAGCUUAGAGGAAAUUGGGCAAACAUGCUUAUUUCCCUUCUAUUAGAAUAUAAUCAGCAAAGAAGAGAUACACAAUUGCACGUCACUUAAAGGAAAAUCAGUUGAUUGAGAUACGCACAUCUCUCUAUUCAAACUUAUAAAGAGGUAAUCUGGGUCUCUUUGGUUUGAUGGCAAAAUAACAAAAUCAGUCUUCUCUUCUUACUGCUUGUUGUGACCUUGCUGCCAUUGAUGUAAUCGGACGCGAUCUUGGAGUUUUCGGCUCUUCAAGUGGCAUGUGUUUAAAGAAGAACUCCAUUCAUUUCUCGUUACCACUCAUCACUUAUAUAUCAUCAAGCUUGCUCAUCUAUUGGACUACAUAUUCUUAGAGUGUUCUUCUCAUCAAGGUAAGUUUCUGCUUUUGUAAGUGUAUUAAUGAAUUUGAUUCUAUGAUACAUCUUGUUAGGGAAGUGUGGGAUUAGAUACAUGAUCCUCCUUGAUCACUGAGUUACUUCAUUUUCUGAAGAAAUCCUCUUAAAUAUGUGAUGGGAUCUCUUAGGAAGAUGUAUGUACACAUGCCUAUUGAGAAUUUCAUUAUUGAAUACCUGCAUCAGGAGUCAUCUGAUUAAGAGCUUCGGGAACUAAAAUUGAGAACAAUAGAAAGAUCCUCAUUGGUGUUAUACUCUUCAAUUCAUUUAGAAAUCUUUAGUCUGAGUACAUCAAAAGCAGAUACUAGUAGUAAAAUAUAGAAGAAAGAGAGAGCUUAACUAUGGCCUUAAGCUAACUGAAUUUAUUUACCAGAGAAAAAUGUGAUAUACUAACUAAAGUAGAGCAUGUUAAACUUAAACACUAAAUAGAGUUAGUUUUUCAGUUCUUUGUGCUGAACCUACCAACAAAAAAAUGUAUUUUUGAAGGGGUAAUCUUUUUUUGUUUAGUUAUUUGUUUAUGUACUGUAGCAAAUUUUUGUACUGAACAGAGCAAUUGGGUCAUACAAGUAAUUGGUUGUCAUGUAAACUUUUGCUGGGAAUUUGAAUUGAUUUGAUGAAAUUGUAGUGUCUUUAGUGGAAGACUACUGCACUAUGUUAAGAAAAGUAUAACCUGGACAACUAUUUAACUUACUACCUUAAAGAUAGAUAUGUCCAUAAAUAUGAUUUUCAGCAGCCCUUAAAUACAUUACUUUGAAUGGACACCACUAACACUAAAGAUCAGAAAAGCUGUGAUUAUGCAACUGUACAUUCUAAAGAAAGAGCUAGAUGUAGAAUUAUCAAUGCUUCAUUAUGGUGAGUAAUCUGGAAAGAGAUGAAUUCUAGGUGUUUUAAGAGCAUACAGAGAGUGUGAUAUAAUUGAUGUUUAUACUCAUAUGGACAUAGUACAAUGAAUAGAUGGAGUUCAUCUGUAAAUGAGGUAUAACAUGGAAAGCACUGCCAAAGAAUGUAUAAAACUAGAGAAUGGAAGGCACUGCCAAAGAAUGUCAAACAAAUUCCUCUUGAUCUCUCUGCUCAUGCUCGGGAGACAUCACUUAGUUUUUGUAGAGUCCAUGAGAAUUUUUAUUUUAGUGAUCUUGUAGAGAAGAGACUUCUAAGCCUUCGGCCUUCUUCUUUUUUAGUAAAUAACAGAAAUUAUUACCAAAAGUGCCAUGUACGAACAAGGAAAAAACAAGGCCUGAACAACCCCAACCUUGCUUAUGAGAGAAUCUAAACACUGAAACUAACUAUAGUUUGUAAUCUUGACAACCCAAUGCACUAGCUAGUUUUGUCUUCUUACAUCCUCUAAUUGUGGAUCUCCUAGACAAUAUUUUGUAUAGGAACACCCAGUUGGCCUUGACUUUUAUCAAAAUAUGUAUUUUGCAAGAGGAAUAUGGAAUGAUGCAGCUGCUAAAGUUUCUACUGAAGUUUGCAGUGAUAAUGAAUUAUAAGAAUCAAGCUCAAGAAUUUGAAUAUGAAGAGUCUAUCAUUGAAGAAAGUAUCGAGCAAGUUGAAGUUCAAGAGUACUUUUACUUUGAUUAGAAAUGUAGUUGAAAGACGAUAUCUUAUUAUUUAUAUAUGUUUCAUUUUUUCUCUUUUUAGGAGUUGAUAAAGAUCUGUCAUAUAACUUUUAUGUAAUAUUUUUUAAAAUUAGUUCUUUGUAUUAACAAUGAAGUUGUACAUUCAAUUACUAAGUAUAUUUUCUUG
Molecule: long non-coding RNA, 2311 nt
Organism: Solanum tuberosum (potato)
Lineage: Eukaryota; Viridiplantae; Streptophyta; Magnoliopsida; Solanales; Solanaceae
Exons: 3
Source: RefSeq, a predicted model, not a curated record